Molecule: long non-coding RNA, 269 nt
Organism: Chelonia mydas (Green sea turtle)
Lineage: Eukaryota; Metazoa; Chordata; Testudines; Cheloniidae
Exons: 3
Source: RefSeq, a predicted model, not a curated record
UGCUAAUAAGCAAUGGUUACAUAAACACCACCCUUUACCGGAAACCUGCUGACCACUAUACUUACCUACACGCCUCUAGCUUUCAUCCAGAGCACACCACAUGAUCCAUUCUGUACAGCCAAGCUCUAGGAUACAACGGCAUUUGCUCCAACCCCUCAGACAGAGACAAACACCUACAAGAUCUCUAUCAAGCGUUCUUACAACUACAAUACCCACCUGCUGAAGUGAAGAAACAGAUUGACAGAGCCAGAAGGGUACCCAGAAGUCAC